Molecule: ribosomal RNA, 253 nt
Filed under: uncultured bacterium
Lineage: Bacteria
Description: partial 16S ribosomal RNA
Rfam family: Bacterial small subunit ribosomal RNA
Source: RNAcentral
UACGGAGGGUGCAAGCGUUAUCCGGAUUUACUGGGUUUAAAGGGUGCGUAGGUGGGUAGGAAAGUCAGUGGUGAAAUCUUCGGGCUUAACCCGGAAACUGCCAUUGAUACUAUUUAUCUUGAAUACUUUGGAGGUAAGCGGAAUAUGUCAUGUAGCGGUGAAAUGCUUAGAUAUGACAUAGAACAUCGAUUGCGAAGGCAGCUCGCUACACUAUUAUUGACACUGAGGCACGAAAGCGUGGGGAUCAAACAGG